GAUGAACGCUGGCGGCGUGCCUAAUACAUGCAAGUCGAGCGAACGGACGAGAAGCUUGCUUCUCUGAUGUUAGCGGCGGACGGGUGAGUAACACGUGGAUAACCUACCUAUAAGACUGGGAUAACUUCGGGAAACCGGAGCUAAUACCGGAUAAUAUUUUGCACCGCAUGGUUCAAAAGUGAACGACGGUCUUGCUGUCACUUAUAGCUGGUUCCGCGCUGCCUUAGCUAGUUGGUAAGGUAACGGCUUACCAAGGCAACGCUGCAUAGACGACAUGAGAGGGUGAUCGGCCACCCGGGAACUGAGACAGGGUCCAGAAUCCUACGGGAGGCAGCAGUAGGGAAUCUGCCGCAAUGGGCGAAAGCCUGACGGAGCAACGCCGCGUGAGUGAUGAAGGUCUUCGGAUCGUAAAACUCUGUUAUUAGGGAAGAACAGAUGUGUAAGUAACUGUGCACAUCUUGACGGUACCUAAUCAGAAAGCAACGGCUAACUACGUG
Molecule: ribosomal RNA, 497 nt
Filed under: uncultured bacterium
Lineage: Bacteria
Description: partial 16S ribosomal RNA
Rfam family: Bacterial small subunit ribosomal RNA
Source: RNAcentral